AACGAACGCUGGCGGCGCGUCUUAACCAUGCAAGUCGAGCGGCAGGCAGCAAUGCCGAGAGCGGCGGACUGGUGAGUAACACGUGGAUAACGUACCCCGAUGUCCGGGACAGCCUGUAGAAAUAGAGGGUGAUACCGGAUAGAUCACUGUAUACGGAAGGUAGACAGCGGGAAAGGAGCUUCGGCUCCGCGCCGGGAACGGUCUGCGGCCCAUCAGCUGGACGGCGGGGUAACGGCCCGCCGUGGCGAGGACGGGUAUCCGGCCUGAGAGGGCGGACGGACACAUUGGGACUGAGAUACGGCCCAGACUCCUACGGGAGGCAGCAGGUAAGAAUAUUCCGCAAUGGGGGGAACCCUGACGGAGCGACGCCGCGUGAACGAAGAAGGCCGGAAGGUUGUAAAGUUCUUUUCUGUCCGAGGAAUAAGUGUAGGAGGAAAUGCCUGCAUGGUGACGGUAGGGCAGGAAUAAGCACCGCUAAUUAC
RNAcentral lists this ribosomal RNA (482 nucleotides) under Treponema socranskii. Its description in RNAcentral is "bacterial SSU rRNA". It matches the Rfam family "Bacterial small subunit ribosomal RNA", at positions 29 to 504 of the family's 1533-position model. The record is from RNAcentral. Lineage: Bacteria; Pseudomonadati; Spirochaetota; Spirochaetia; Treponematales; Treponemataceae.